UAGAUAGGAAACACCCACACGCGUUAACAAUAGCUAGCUAAUAAUCUCAGAAUUUAUGUAUAAAUCAGGGCCACGAGUCUCCAAACUCACAUGCCUCUCUGUGUCAAUUGACUCAAAGUCCAGUAAAUUAGUUCAGUUCUCCAGUGCUAGCAGCUAUGGUAUUUUAUGGUAAGAUGCUAGCUAUCCAUCUUGCUUUUGCAUGCUAGACUCCAUGAUCUAUAAGCUAAUUAAGGGAGGAAGAUUUAUUGGUGAGUGAUUUCCAUGUUAUAUCCUUGCCAAGUAUACAGUCUUCUGCUGAUAUCCACCUCUAUUUCAUUGUCUGUUCGACCUUGAACUACCCUAAAUAAUCAAACCCUAACUAGUAAUCCCAAUCAUCUAACAUGUUUUCUGACAACGACGACGACGACAACGAUCAGAUCAAAUUGAACUCUUCUUCUGAUUCCAUGUGUGUCUGUUAUAAAUUUCAUCUAGAUAUCCCUGUCUUUCAUGGCCUCGCUCAAUCUGUAUACAUAUAUUCUUGUAUGCUUAUGACUAACUAAACAGUGGUGCAAUGAAAAGGUAAUAGAAAGAAGGGGUUGAGUAGGAAGGAAGAAAAUAUAUAGUGGAAGCUUCAGAGGGUAUUGCAGUGUAACUGUAAUGGAGUUGUCCCUUUGAGCGUUAAUGGUAGACGACGGAGGAAAAGCUAAAGGACCAUUAACUAAUCCUAGGAGUAGUUACUGUUGUUUAAUUGAUGAGGACAAAAGAUAUCAAUGGGAAGCAGUUCAUAGUACACUUGUUAAAGCCGUAAAUGAUAAUGCAUAGAUAGGUAAUACAUAGGACCACAGACCAGUUCCAACCUCUCGAUGCUCCCACCACCACAUCCAAGUAAAAGGAAGAAAACAAAGUAAAUGUUCAGGGAAGGCCCACCAUAACCAGAAGUAGGAAUGCAGAAACUUCUUGAAGAGAGAGAGAGAGAGAGAGAGAGAGUUUGUGGCUCUGUGGUUCUGUAGUGUUGAAUCUCUCUGGAUAUAGAUACAUAUGAGUUGGCAAAUUUAUUAAGAUCAAAUCUAUCGUAUGGGAAGUGGAAACAGACGUACACCUGAAGUAGAUAGAGUGAAUGAGAGGAAGGCAGGCUCUUAGUGAAUUUUAUCGAGCUACGAGUCAAGGAAAAGUUACCUUGAAGUAGAUAGAGUGGAUGCAGAUGUAGUGUAUAUAGUAUAUACCUACCUCCUCCAUCUCAUGAUUCCCAACAAGCUCCAGCCCUUAACAAAAAAAAAAAAAAGGGUUUCCAGAACGGCACGUUGAGGUUAACCUCAUGAUCCUAGGUUUGAUUAUGUGUUUCCCCAUCCCCGAACGGUCUUGAUGCCACAUGAUGAAUGGAUUUUUGUUCAUCAUGGCCUCAGAAAAAAUCGGUUAAAAAAAUAAAAAAGAAAUGAGUUCUCUUUCACCUAUGAUUACUUAGCUCUGGCCCUUACAAUACGGAGUCGAUAAUCUCCUGUCUGUUGUUUUCGAUAUCCAUCUCAAUACAUCUCAUGGAUAUUCAUGUAGUUAACUAUAAUCUUAGGUAGUCCUUAAAUUUUUCAAUGCCUUGUUUUGUCACUUGGCAUAUUAAGAUGGAGUUGAAACUUGACAUAUGAACAUAAAACUUUUUUUUUUUUUGGGAUGGAGGGAUGCACGAAGAAAAUGGUAAAAAUAUUCAUUCACGUUUGGAAGGCAUUUACCAUUUACCACCAAAAGAUAUAAUCACCAUCUAAUCAGCAGGUAAAACAUGGCAGCAUUAAGCACAUCAACCGCCAUUAAAUUUUGUUGUGAAAAGAUAUCAGUAUUUAUAACUGAAUAUAAAUGGAGAGACAGGAUUUUUUUAUUUGAGAGUCCUAAAACACAGGAGUUUUCCUGUUCACUACUUACUUUUGGAUCACUUUGAAAGCCGAAGAGGGAGAAAAUUUUGAAAGACUUUUAAUACAUAUGUCGUAUGUUUUGGCUUAUAUAUUUUUUUCAAUCCAACUAUUGUUGGCAUCAAUAUCAAACAUACCAAAGGACCAAAAUACCUUAACUGCCAUAAAAAGAAUGACUUAAAGGGGAAAAUGACAAAAGAUAUUUUAGUCACUUAACCCCUAAAAAUAGUGACGACAGGAUAGAAAUAACUAAUGGGUAAACUAGUCUAUCUUUUGCAUUAUUUAUGGUUCUAUCUCCUCUCUCCUCUAUUAUAACUCUUUUAGGAACCUAAAAAUAAAAUCCAAAAACUUAUUGAUAGCAAGAUAGAAGUUUAUUUUUAUUUUAUUAUUAUUAUUAUUUUCUUUAAACCCUUUCAUCCCCCACCACACCCAAAAAAAAGAUUAGUAUUUGCUGAAAACUUUUAUUUUUUUGGUAAAAUAUUUGCUGAUAACUUGAUAUGUACUUUAUUCUCUCCCACUAUCUUAGCAGACACAAUAAUGUCUAUUUCUGCUCUUAAUUUAUAAAUAAAUAUAUUUUAAUUUCUAAAUCUAGUUGUAAGAUUACAUUACAGUGAAAAAAUGACUAUUCAACUAGGAUCAUUCAUUUUUUUGGUGUAAUUCGGAUCAUUCCUUUGAACUAAGAAAGAUAGGAGUCCAAAUAAUUUUGCCAGUAUUGAUGAUGAUGAUAAAUUAAUCAAUUGAAAAUUUUGAUUUCUUUUAAUGAUUUCUGCCAAAUUUUCCCUCUUGUUUGAGGUUGUUUGAAGGAUUUUUGGGGAAUAUUGUAAUAUUAUUCGUAAUUUGUAGGCAAUAAUGAUGAUUGAAAUUUUAAGAAUUUUAUUUUAUAUUUGGUAGAAAUUUGUUAAGAGUUUUAUUACUUACAUGAAUUCAACGAAAAAAAUGCAUAGACUAUAAUACUUUAUACAAAUUGCUAUCAUAUCUAAUUUUUCAAUUUGUAUGCAAACAUGUUAUAAGUUUACAUUUGGGAUUAGGUUUUCUAGCAGUCCAUGUAACCAAGCUAUAUUCAGUUGCCUACUUCUGUUACGACAGAUGGAUUGAGUUAGAUUUUUGUGGGAGGGCAGAACCCAAGGUCCGCUGCUCACAUCUUUUAGUCUAAAUGGAGUUUGCAAAUGUAAUGAAAACAUCAUGGAAAUAUCUAGGAAUAUAACAUGGAUGCACAUAAUUACUGAGGAAGUUCAUGGAUAUACUAACGAAGGUGAUAUUACUGGAGUAAAUGAUUGAAUUUGGAUCUAAAAUUUGACAUGUGACCGACUUAUCUAGGAGUCUCAACUAUGGACCAUUUGAUCUUUCCACAUGGUGGAAUUAGGUGUCUCAACUGGACCCUAUACUUGACCUUCCGGCCAAGGAAACUUAUUUUAGAAAAUGAUGGAAUUCAAUUUUAUCGCAUAUCAAUUGUUUAAGGUCGAAUAGACAAUGAACUUGAGGUAUAAGUAAGGACUGUGUACUUGUCAAGGCUUUGCAUGGACAUCAAUGACACCCUAUAUGCAAAUCAUGCCAUUAUAUGAUGCUUCAAAUGACAAUCAAUGAAGAAGAAAUUGGAGGCAAUUGGAGGCAUAAGUUGUAUCCUCUUAAGUGCCCCAGUCCCUUUAGUGUUCAUCGGACGACUGGCAACAUCUGGAUAUUACACCCCAAGUGGUUCUCAACUAUUAGAUAUGCACCAGAGGAAGCUGACACACUUGAGAGGAUCCCAUUAGUUGGAGGUUUCAGCUAGUGAUGUUCAGUAUCAUCAUCCAUUGCCAGUUGUAUUCUCACAACACACCAAUUUAUCUAUUGAAAAGAUCGAUCUUUGAGACAAUGAAAGCAAGCGUUUCAAAGUCCACAUACAAAUGGGUCAACCUCAUGUGUGGCUAACUUGAGUCGAUUAAAUUUUGAUUAGUUUUAGGUACAACUGUUCCAAUUGCUUACAAUUAUUUUGGAUGCUAUAUCUUAGGCUAUGUAUGUCUGAAUUAAAUGAUUUAAAAGAUAUUAUUUUUCAAGUAUUCCACAUA
This is a long non-coding RNA of Macadamia integrifolia, 3919 nucleotides long. RefSeq lists it as uncharacterized. The record is from RefSeq and is a predicted model, not a curated record. Lineage: Eukaryota; Viridiplantae; Streptophyta; Magnoliopsida; Proteales; Proteaceae. The transcript has 3 exons.